This 253-nucleotide ribosomal RNA is filed under the name uncultured bacterium. Its description in RNAcentral is "partial 16S ribosomal RNA". It matches the Rfam family "Bacterial small subunit ribosomal RNA", at positions 524 to 776 of the family's 1533-position model. The record is from RNAcentral.
UACGUAGGGUGCGAGCGUUGUCCGGAAUUACUGGGCGUAAAGGGUGCGUAGGUGGCGCCGUAAGUCAGGUGUGAAAUUUCGGAGCUUAACUCCGAAACUGCAUUUGAUACUGCGGUGCUUGAGGACUGGAGAGGAGACUGGAAUUUACGGUGUAGCAGUGAAAUGCGUAGAGAUCGUAAGGAAGACCAGUGGCGAAGGCGGGUCUCUGGACAGUUCCUGACACUGAGGCACGAAGGCCAGGGGAGCAAACAGG